CCAUCUGGUUUGCCAGCACAGCUAGAGUGAGUUUCAGUGGUGCGUCAGCAGCCUGCUCCUUGUGGGUUACUGCUGUGGCAAAGUCAUCUCAGCCACCUUUGCCUCCCAUGGAGCAGUCCCUGCUCUUCAUUCUUGGGCUGGCCUUGCUGGUCUCUGGGAUCAAUGCUGACUACAGGGGGUUUCCUAUAGAGCAAGUAGAUCAGAUGCUAAGGACAGGAACAUAGAAUCAUAGAAUGAUUUGGGUUGGAAGGGACCUUGGAAGAUCAUCUUGUCCAAACCCUGCCAUGGGCAGGGACACCAGGAUGCGCUGCUGAAGUCAAGGUGGAAGCAAAUGUCUGGGGACUACACUGCUAAUCUGCAUAAAUAAAUAGUAAAUUUUUUACAUCAACCAGACCUGUGGAGGCAUUUGAAGGCCCUGGUAGUGUCACUGGGAUGUCCUUUCACCCUCUGGUUUGUGGUAUAUUGUUCCUGUUCCCCAUUUACAGCUUUGCAGCCUGCCCUUUAGUUCCACUGGAGAAUCCCACACAUUGAAAUUUGUCUAUUGCUUCCCCAAACUCUGAUCCAGCCACUCCCUCUGCUCCUCAAAACACUGGUAUAUGAAGUGGGGUUUUUUCCCAAAUGUCAUUUUUAGCUUCUUACCCACUUACUAGUCACUGAAAUAGUGGGAAUCAUUGUCACCACCAUUUUGCUCAAUUAUUAUUUUUCUUUCUCUUGCUAAUGUCUUUGUUUGUUUGUUUAUUUAUUUGUUUGUUUUUAAGGAAUAGUGUUUUAUCAGACCUGGAUGUGGUGCCAGAGAUCUCUUACCUAAGGAGGAGGAAAGAAAUCAGAACACAAGGCAAUCAGAUUCCCAUCUUCCUGUCUAGACUUGUAGUUGGAAAAAGCUCUCCAGGAACCGGCUCUUCCGUUGCUGUCUCUGGCACAGUGCUCCCUUGGGCUGGGUGAUAGGCCGCUCCACUCCGUCCAUUCUGCAGCAUCUCCUGCAUCCCUCUGAAGAGUCCCAAGAAAGGAGCAACAUCCUUAAUCAGAUGUCCACAGAAUCCCUGGGGAAAGAGAGAGAUGGUUUCCUAUCUCUGGAGAUGUCACUAUAGUGUUUACAUGGUUGAAGAGGAAAGGCGUGGGACAGCACUUGGGCCUACCAAGGACUUUGCAAUGGUAUGUGGGUGUCUGAUAGCCCCUAGGUGAAGAUCCCCAAAGGGCCUCUCAGUAUCUUUUUGAUGGCUGGGGUUUUUUUAUCUUAUUUAUGU
Molecule: long non-coding RNA, 1244 nt
Filed under: Zonotrichia albicollis (white-throated sparrow)
Lineage: Eukaryota; Metazoa; Chordata; Aves; Passeriformes; Passerellidae
Description: lncRNA (ENSZALG00000013494.1)
Source: RNAcentral